This is a long non-coding RNA of Peromyscus maniculatus bairdii (prairie deer mouse), 857 nucleotides long. RefSeq lists it as uncharacterized. Lineage: Eukaryota; Metazoa; Chordata; Mammalia; Rodentia; Cricetidae. The record is from RefSeq and is a predicted model, not a curated record.
UCACCUCUGGCUCUUAACAAUUUUACCACCUCCUUUUUUACAAAGUUUCUUAAGGCAUGAUGAGAGGGGUCUGAUGAAGAUAUACAAUUCAGGACUGAGUGCUGCAGAAUCCCUCACUCUCUGCACACUGUCCAGAUGUGUGGGUCUCUGUUAAUUUUCAUCUACUGCCAGAAGAAGCUUCUCUGAUAUGGGGUGACCAAGGAACUGAUCUACAGGUGAAGGUGUUCAUGUGAUACAUUCUUGGCCAGUGAGGUAUGAAGAGGAAUCAGCUGGAUCACUGACAAAGUACCAUGGUGGCAGCCUGACAUCCUACUACAUAGCUUUUUCACAAGUGUUAACCAUUUCAAAGAACCAUGCUUAAAGGAUACCCAGAGAAGUCUAAGCAGCCAAAUGUUCCACACAUCUAAGCACCUCACUCUUCCUCUUAUUAGGUAAAUUUCAAUGAAAUGAGCAAACAAUUUGGAGAGAUAUUCUUUCUUUACUGGACAUAACCCAGCUCAUUCUUCUUCUAUCAGUGUGAAAAUGAUUGCCAAAUGAACAUCUACAGGGCACCUCAUCCAGAAGCAGUACAGGGGAACACAGGAUCACCAAGGAGUAUCCCAUCUGAAACCUCAGGAAUCCCCAGAAACUGACACAUCAGCUUUGAAACCCACCACAACUGUCAAGGAUUCAUGCUCUGAGAUGAAACUACGUAAUAGGGGAGAGAUCUUGGUACCCAAGAUACACAUUGGUUCCUGCAACUGCAGAGGAAGAAGGUCUCUUGUGAUUCUGUGCUCACAGCAGCCCUAGAAAUAAUGAAGACAGCCAACUACGGACUGAAACCAUGAGCUAAAAUAAAUUAUCUCAUUUUAAAGUUG